Molecule: ribosomal RNA, 406 nt
Filed under: Amblyseius herbicolus
Lineage: Eukaryota; Metazoa; Arthropoda; Arachnida; Mesostigmata; Phytoseiidae
Description: partial 12S ribosomal RNA
Source: RNAcentral
UAAACUAGGAUUAGAUACCCCUUUAGUUAAAUUAAUGUUUAGUAGUAAGUGAAUUUCAUGAAACUAAAAUUAAUUGGCGGCUUUUAAAAUAUGUUAGAGGAAUUUAUUCUAUAAUGGAUAAAACACCAAUAUCUUACUUGUUCUUGAUUUUCAGUUUGUAUAUCUCUAUUUAAAAAUAUUUAGAUUUAUUUUUUAAUUUUUUGAAAAAAUAUUUUAGGUAAAGAUGCAGCUUAUGGGCAAGGUUGAAAUAAAUUAUAUUAAUUAUUAUUUAACAAUUUUUAUUUUUUAAAAAAUAAAAAUAGAAAGAUUUAAAAGUAAAAUUUAUUUAGUAAGUAGAUUUGAAUAUUCUUUUUGAGUGUACAUAUUGCCCGUCACUCUCUAAAUAGAGAUAAGUCGAACAUAGUAA